This 376-nucleotide ribosomal RNA is filed under the name uncultured Acetivibrio sp. Its description in RNAcentral is "bacterial SSU rRNA". It matches the Rfam family "Bacterial small subunit ribosomal RNA", at positions 355 to 747 of the family's 1533-position model. The record is from RNAcentral. Lineage: Bacteria; Bacillati; Bacillota; Clostridia; Acetivibrionales; Acetivibrionaceae.
UCGGGAAUAUUGCGCAAUGGAGGAAACUCUGACGCAGUGACGCCGCGUGCAGGAAGAAGGUUUUCGGAUUGUAAACUGCUUUAGACAGGGAAGAAAAAAGACAGUACCUGUAGAAUAAGCUCCGGCUAACUACGUGCCAGCAGCCGCGGUAAUACGUAGGGAGCGAGCGUUAUCCGGAUUUAUUGGGUGUAAAGGGUGCGUAGACGGGAAAUUAAGUUAGUUGUGAAAUCCCACGGCUCAACUGUGGAACUGCAACUAAAACUGGUUUUCUUGAGUACUGGAAAGGAAAGUGGAAUUCUUAGUGUAGCGGUGAAAUGCGUAGAUAUUAGGAGGAACACCAGUGGCGAAGGCGACUUUCUGGACAGAAACUGACGUU